CCCUUAGAUGUUCUCGGCCGCACACGCGCUACACUGAAAGAGGCAACGUGUUUGCCUGAUUCGAAAGAAUUGGGUAACCCCCUAAUCUCUUUCGUGCUGGGGAUUGAGGUUUGCAAUUAUCCUUCAUGAACGAGGAAUUCCCAGUAAGUGCGAGUCAUUAUCUCGCGCUGACUACGUCCCUGCCCUUUGUACACACCGCCCGUCGCUCCUACCGAUUGAAUGGUCCGGUGAAGCGUUCGGACCGUGGCCUUUGGACGGUUCGCCGUCUGUUGGCUGCGGGAAGUUCGUUAAACCUUAUCAUUUAGAGGAAGGAGNAGUCGUAACA
Molecule: ribosomal RNA, 325 nt
Filed under: uncultured eukaryote
Lineage: Eukaryota
Description: partial 18S ribosomal RNA
Rfam family: Eukaryotic small subunit ribosomal RNA
Source: RNAcentral